RNAcentral lists this long non-coding RNA (1618 nucleotides) under Homo sapiens (human). RNAcentral describes it as "HSALNT0355681". The record is from RNAcentral. Lineage: Eukaryota; Metazoa; Chordata; Mammalia; Primates; Hominidae.
CUUCCUCGUGGUCGCGCACCCGGUUGGAUUUCACAGUCAUGGAAGUUCUGCUUUAAAAUCCGUUUCUGAAGAAGUGUUAAUGUAUAAGAAAAACAGCAGACGAACACCAGGUGAGGGAGAGUGUAUUAAACACCUGGACGGUACUCCGCAAAUAUGACACAGUCACCAAAGACAAGUUUGAGAAUCUGUCUCAGACAAGAUCUUGACACUGCUGACCAGGGACAAAAUGUCCCAUUGACAGUCAUGCUCUGGAGCAGGAUGGGCAGUGAGAGACCAGAGACCACAGGAUGGUGGAAAAGCCAGGAAAUUUGUGAGCCGACCAAACCGGAUUUGAAUUCUCUUUCUGAAAAUAAGUAAUUAUGUGAGUCACUCAUUCUCUGAGCUUGAGUUUCUGCAUCCGUAAACUAAGGAUGAUAUGGGAAACACAAAUGCUGACCUCAAGGAGAAGCUGAAGCCAAGAGUAUUAAUCACAGUGGUGAAGAUAAGAAAGAUGACCCCAAGUAAGAAAGCCCAGAAAGGCACUUGCUGUUGACUCCCUCAGAAAGAACACCACGAAAGACCAUGGAUCAUGUAAAUAAGAAGAAGAAAGAAAGUAAGGAAGAAACACCAUACCUUGUUGAGAGCUGUAAAUGGUAUGAUAUUUUACUCCAUGUGGAGCUAACAAACUAGCCUGUCACAACUUCAAGGAUGCUGUCGGAAGACACAAGAUUCCUGGGUCAGAGCCAAAGGACCGUAUCAACGAUGGCAGUGCCUGGGCAUCCCACAUGUGUGUUUAUUCUCCUUGCCCAGAAAAAUGGUGUGGAACGCCCUCGAUGAAACGUGUACACAGUGGGUUGCAUGACAGGAGAAAAUCUCAGAGACUUAGGAACCCAAAUAUGUUAUUGUGAGCAGUGAGCAUUGCUGCCCUUGGCUCCCCGGGAAGACAACAUCUGUAUCUUCCAACAGUGUUAACUGCACAGACAUCCUUGAAAAGAUAGUCCAGAACAAAGGGUGGUUAGUGCCUUGCUGGCAAAAUGUGAUAAAAAUAUGACACUCUUUGAAAUUAUCGUCCAAUGUGUCUUUCCCAUAUGAAAUAGACAACACUUUAAACACAACUUUAAUUAAAUUUUUAUACAUUCCAAUUUGGGAAGCAGUGAUAAUUUAAAUUAUGACAAAAUUCACUGGAUGGCAGUGUCAGGGAGAGAAUGGGGAGGCCAUGCUGAGAAAAUGUUUAUACGUGCAAAGGAAGAGAAUUGCGUAGGACCUCAUAAACAGCUUUUGACUUUGCCAGUGACAAACUCAAGUGUGCUACGGAAGAGUCAGCUCCUGCAACCUGGAGCGGAGGCAAGGGGUCCGUCCUCAGUAAGUGUGGUGGGUCAAAUGGUGCCCCCAAAAACCUCAGAAUGUGACUGUGCUUGAAAUAAGAGUCUUUGCAGAGACAAAGAAGGAGACACAGAGAGACAAAGAGACGAAGAGAGGAGGGUGAUGUGAAGAUGGACGCAGAGAUCAAAUCCAUGAAGCUAAGGAAUUCCAGGAAGCGGAGAGAGCUGGGACAGAGAUAUGGAACAGACCCUCUCUCUGAGCUUCCAGAAGGUGUGAUUUUGGACUUCUCAUCCGCAGCUCUGGGAGAGAAUAAAUU